UGGGGAAUCUUGGACAAUGGGGGCAACCCUGAUCCAGCCAUGCCGCGUGAGUGAUGAAGGCCUUAGGGUCGUAAAGCUCUUUCGCCUGUGAAGAUAAUGACGGUAGCAGGUAAAGAAACCCCGGCUAACUCCGUGCCAGCAGCCGCGGUAAUACGGAGGGGGUUAGCGUUGUUCGGAAUUACUGGGCGUAAAGCGCACGUAGGCGGACCAGAAAGUUGGGGGUGAAAUCCCGGGGGCUCAACCCCGGAACUGCCUCCAAAACUAUUGGUCUAGAGUUCGAGAGAGGUGAGUGGAAUUCCAAGUGUAGAGGUGAAAUUCGUAGAUAUUUGGAGGAACACCAGUGGCGAAGGCGGCUCACUGGCUCGAUACUGACGCUGAGGUGCGAAAAGUGUGGGGAGCAAAACAGGAUUAGAUACCCUGGGUAGUCCACACCGUAAAACGAUGAAUGCCAGUCGUCGGGUAGCAUGCUAUUCGGUGAC
This 479-nucleotide ribosomal RNA is filed under the name uncultured bacterium. Its description in RNAcentral is "bacterial SSU rRNA". It matches the Rfam family "Bacterial small subunit ribosomal RNA", at positions 355 to 847 of the family's 1533-position model. The record is from RNAcentral.